UUAACUGAAACCAAAAAGAGGUAUAUUAUUGUUAAUAAUAAAAUUGAAUGAAUAUUCCUGUUAAA
RNAcentral lists this transfer RNA (65 nucleotides) under Hospitalitermes hospitalis. Its description in RNAcentral is "tRNA-Asn". Lineage: Eukaryota; Metazoa; Arthropoda; Insecta; Blattodea; Termitidae. The record is from RNAcentral.